This 496-nucleotide ribosomal RNA is filed under the name uncultured bacterium. Its description in RNAcentral is "partial 16S ribosomal RNA". It matches the Rfam family "Bacterial small subunit ribosomal RNA", at positions 28 to 507 of the family's 1533-position model. The record is from RNAcentral.
GAUGAACGCUGGCGGCGUGCCUAAUACAUGCAAGUCGAGCGAACAGACGAGGAGCUUGCUCCUCUGACGUUAGCGGCGGACGGGUGAGUAACACGUGGAUAACCUACCUAUAAGACUGGGAUAACUUCGGGAAACCGGAGCUAAUACCGGAUAAUAUAUUGAACCGCAUGGUUCAAUAGUGAAAGACGGUUUUGCUGUCACUUAUAGAUGGAUCCGCGCCGCAUUAGCUAGUUGGUAAGGUAACGGCUUACCAAGGCAACGAUGCGUAGCCGACCUGAGAGGGUGAUCGGCCACACUGGAACUGAGACACGGUCCAGACUCCUACGGGAGGCAGCAGUAGGGAAUCUUCCGCAAUGGGCGAAAGCCUGACGGAGCAACGCCGCGUGAGUGAGGAAGGUCUUCGGAUCGUAAAACUCUGUUAUUAGGGAAGAACAAAUGUGUAAGUAACUAUGCACGUCUUGACGGUACCUAAUCAGAAGCCACGGCUAACUACGUG